Molecule: long non-coding RNA, 486 nt
Filed under: Homo sapiens (human)
Lineage: Eukaryota; Metazoa; Chordata; Mammalia; Primates; Hominidae
Description: HSALNT0271851
Source: RNAcentral
CAUGUACUAGGUCUCAACAAACCAAGCCAAACCAAACCAAACCAAAAUGGAGUUGCUUGUGCUAGGACUUUAAGGAAACACAUAGAUUCUAGAACAAAUCAGGUUUUGUUCUGAAUCCUGCAAAUCUCUAUAAUACAGAUUUCUGACAGCAUAGGUAUCCACCCCCUAAAGUCCCCAUUAAAUCUUUUAACCAAAUUCAUUUCCUCUGGCCUAGAGACCAUCAAGCUUCAGAUGAUCAUGCAACAAAAGUCCCAGCUAGUUCCAGGUGAAGACAACACACCUGGCCUUCAAAAAGCUACUCUGCCUCCACUAGAGAGAACAGGGCGAGAGUUCCAUGAUCCCCAGUAGGGCAUACCAGAAAUAACCAGUGGAAUCCUCUAGGGGGUAUUUAAACUCCCAAAAAUUCUGUAACGUGGCCUUGGAGCUCCUAUGCUCAGGUCCGCUCACACACUGUGGAGUGUACUUUCAUUUUCAAUAAAUUCCUUU